RNAcentral lists this microRNA precursor (86 nucleotides) under Oryza longistaminata (longstamen rice). RNAcentral's name for it is "pre miRNA mir-160". Lineage: Eukaryota; Viridiplantae; Streptophyta; Magnoliopsida; Poales; Poaceae. The record is from RNAcentral.
CGCUGCCUGGCUCCCUGAAUGCCAUCCGAGAAGCGUGCCGCUGUGGCCGGCUGCUUCCUGGUUGGCAUUGAGGGAGUCAUGCAGGG